Molecule: unclassified non-coding RNA, 200 nt
Filed under: Bispora sp.
Lineage: Eukaryota; Fungi; Ascomycota; Leotiomycetes; Helotiales; Helotiaceae
Description: partial internal transcribed spacer 2
Source: RNAcentral
UUAAGUUCAGCGGGUAUCCCUACCUGAUCCGAGGUCAACCUUUAGAAGUUGGGGGUUGUUGGCAAGCGUCCACCGGAACCCUAUCGCGAGGAGAAAUUACUACGCGUAGAGCCAGACGGCACCGCCACUGGUUUUAAGGCCCGCCCGGAGGCGAAGCCCAAGACCCCGCCGGAGCGGGAGUUGGUCAAAAUGACGCUCGA